AGAGUUUGAUCCUGGCUCAGAUUGAACGCUGGCGGCAUGCUUUACACAUGCAAGUCGAACGGUAACAGGGUGCUUGCACCGCUGACGAGUGGCGAACGGGUGAGUAAUGCAUCGGAAUGUACCGUGUAAUGGGGGAUAGCUCGGCGAAAGCCGGAUUAAUACCGCAUACGCCCUGAGGGGGAAAGUGGGGGACCGAAAGGCCUCACGUUAUACGAGCAGCCGAUGUCUGAUUAGCUAGUUGGUGAGGUAAGAGCUCACCAAGGCGUCGAUCAGUAGCGGGUCUGAGAGGAUGAUCCGCCACACUGGGACUGAGACACGGCCCAGACUCCUACGGGAGGCAGCAGUGGGGAAUUUUGGACAAUGGGCGCAAGCCUGAUCCAGCCAUGCCGCGUGUCUGAAGAAGGCCUUCGGGUUGUAAAGGACUUUUGUCCGGGAGCAAAUCCUAGUGGUUAAUAACCGCUGGGUCUGAGAGUACCGGAAGAA
This 483-nucleotide ribosomal RNA is filed under the name Chromobacterium sp. AKB-2008-4288A. RNAcentral's name for it is "bacterial SSU rRNA". It matches the Rfam family "Bacterial small subunit ribosomal RNA", at positions 8 to 486 of the family's 1533-position model. Lineage: Bacteria; Pseudomonadati; Pseudomonadota; Betaproteobacteria; Neisseriales; Chromobacteriaceae. The record is from RNAcentral. RNAcentral also lists the same sequence under 1 other name.